GAUGAAGGACGUAGCGAAAUGCGAUAAGUAAUGUGAAUUGCAGAAUUCCGUGAAUCAUCGAAUCUUUGAACGCACAUUGCGCCCUCUGGUAUUCCGGGGGGCAUGCCUGUCCGAGCGUCAUUUGCAACCCUCAAGCCCGGCUUGUGUGAUGGGUGCCGUCCCCUACGGGACGCGCCCCGAAGGCAAUGGCGGCGUCGCGGUUAUCCGAUCAGCCAAAGUGUAUGGGGCUUUGUCACUCACUUUACGGCCCGGACCGGCGCCAGUCCGAAUCAAUCUUUUUUCUAAAGUUGACCUCGGAUCAGGUAGGGAUACCCGCUGAACUUAAGCAUAUCAAUAAGCGGAGGA
This 345-nucleotide unclassified non-coding RNA is filed under the name soil metagenome. RNAcentral describes it as "partial contains 5.8S ribosomal RNA, internal transcribed spacer 2, and large subunit ribosomal RNA". The stretch from base 1 to 120 matches the Rfam family "5.8S ribosomal RNA", at positions 35 to 154 of the family's 154-position model. The record is from RNAcentral.